AAAACUUUCAACAACGGAUCUCUUGGCUCUGGCAUCGAUGAAGAACGCAGCGAAAUGCGAUAAGUAGUGUGAAUUGCAGAAUUCAGUGAAUCAUCGAAUCUUUGAACGCACAUUGCGCCCGCCAGUAUUCUGGCGGGCAUGCCUGUUCGAGCGUCAUUUCAACCCUCAAGCACAGCUUGGUGUUGGGACUCGCGUUAAUUCGCGUUCCCCAAAUUGAUUGGCGGUCACGUCGAGCUUCCAUAGCGUAGUAGUAAAACCCUCGUUACUGGUAAUCGUCGCGGCCACGCCGUUAAACCCCAACUUCUGAAUGUUGACCUCGGAUCAGGUAGGAAUACCCGCUGAACUUAAGCAUAUCAAUAAGCGGAGGAAAAGAAACCAACAGGGAUUGCCCUAGUAACGGCGAGUGAAGCGGCAACAGCUCAAAUUUGAAAUCUGGCUCUCGGGCCCGAGUUGUAAUUUGUAGAGGAUACUUUUGAUGCGGUGCCUUCCGAGUUCCCUGGAACGGGACGCCAUAGAGGGUGAGAGCCCCGUCUGGUUGGAUGCCAAAUCUCUGUAAAGUUCCUUCAACGAGUCGAGUAGUUUGGGAAUGCUGCUCUAAAUGGGAGGUAUAUGUCUUCUAAAGCUAAAUACCGGCCAGAGACCGAUAGCGCACAAGUAGAGUGAUCGAAAGAUGAAAAGCACUUUGAAAAGAGAGUUAAAAAGUACGUGAAAUUGUUGAAAGGGAAGCGUUUAUGACCAGACUUGGGCUUGGUUAAUCAUCUGGGGUUCUCCCCAGUGCACUUUUCCAGUCCAGGCCAGCAUCAGUUUUCCCCGGGGGAUAAAGGCGGCGGGAAUGUGGCUCUCUUCGGGGAGUGUUAUAGCCCACCGUGUAAUACCCUGGGGGGGACUGAGGUUCGCGCAUCUGCAAGGAUGCUGGCGUAAUGGUCAUCAACGACCCGUCUUGAAACACGGACC
Molecule: ribosomal RNA, 954 nt
Filed under: uncultured Hypocreales
Lineage: Eukaryota; Fungi; Ascomycota; Sordariomycetes; Hypocreales
Description: eukaryotic LSU rRNA
Rfam family: Eukaryotic large subunit ribosomal RNA (bases 312-954)
Source: RNAcentral